GAGCUGGGCCGAUACUCCCCUGAGACAUUGAAGGACGAGGGCAAAAAGGCCGGGAGGUUCCAGUGGGGCCUCCGCCCAGAGAUCAAGUGACACUUAUUAGUACUAGAGCUCAAGACAUAUUCAGUCGUUCUGACAAAAGCGUAGAUCGUGGAAAGGAGUUUCAACACCCUUUCCCAGUCAGAAGGGAGUCACAGACCCUCAGCUCCACCCCGCAGAC
Molecule: long non-coding RNA, 217 nt
Filed under: Carica papaya (papaya)
Lineage: Eukaryota; Viridiplantae; Streptophyta; Magnoliopsida; Brassicales; Caricaceae
Description: long non-coding RNA (CPAP_LNC013602)
Source: RNAcentral